CCUACGUGCGGCAGCCGUGGGGAAUAUUGCGCAAUGGGCGAAAGCCUGACGCAGCGACGCCGCGUGAGGGAUGAAGGUCUUCGGAUCGUAAACCUCUGUCAGCAGGGAAGAACGGUCACUGUGCUAAUCAGCAGUGAAUUGACGGUACCUGCAAAGGAAGCACCGGCUAACUCCGUGCCAGCAGCCGCGGUAAUACGGAGGGUGCGAGCGUUAAUCGUAAUUACUGGGCGUAAAGCGCUCGUAGGCGGUAUGUCAAGUCAAGGGUGAAAUCCCCGCGCUCAACGUGGGAACUGCCUUUGAAGCUGGCAAACUGGAGUGUGUGAGAGGAUAGUGGAAUUCCAGGUGUAGGAGUGAAAUCCGUAGAUAUCUGGAGGAACAUCAGUGGCGAAGGCGACUAUCUGGCACAUAACUGACGCUGAGGAGCGAAAGCGUGGGUAGCAAACAGGAUUAGAUACCCCGGUAGUC
RNAcentral lists this ribosomal RNA (465 nucleotides) under uncultured bacterium. RNAcentral's name for it is "partial 16S ribosomal RNA". It matches the Rfam family "Bacterial small subunit ribosomal RNA", at positions 338 to 795 of the family's 1533-position model. The record is from RNAcentral.